AUGUUUAUCAAACGUCGGAUCUGUAGAUAUUUUCUUCCAUUAUGUACGUGGUUCUUUCACUUUGCUGACAGGUUAGAAGCCCCCUUCUCCCACAUCCCUUCUGACUCCAUGUUUGGGUCCCUUCCAGGAACACUCCCUGGUGCAAGCGUCUUUCCCUCUCCUGGGUUUCCCCUCUGGGGUCCCCUUCCUCACUGUCUCAUGGAAGCGCCUUUCCCUCUCCUGGAUUUCCCCUCUGGGGUCCCCUACCACACUCUCCUGUGGAAGCCUGUCUUCCCUCCUAAACCCCAUCUCUAUUCCCUUCCACUCAGCGUGGAAGCUCUUUCCUCUCCUGGGUUCCAUCUUUCUGGAUUCUCUCACUCAGUGUGGGAGGAGCUUCCUGCCCUGGUUUCCCCCUCUGGGAACCUGCUCACUCAGCGUGAGAGUUUGCUUUUCUCUCUCCAUUUUCUCUCUUUAAAUAAAUCACUUUCUACAAACACUUUUGAGUCGUAUUUCCUGCGCACUGCGCCAUGGUCCCCUCUCUCAUUCUUGAGAGGGCGGGAGACCACGAACCUGGAGAAACGUCCUCUCAGGGGAGCUGAGGGCGCCCUGAACACCUGAAUCCCAAUAUUACAUGCUUACUUGUAACAGUUUAAUAGAUUUCACUCUUCGCCUUCCGCCAUGAGGAAAAGCUCGCUGAGGGCCUCCCGAGAAGCCGAGCAGAGGCGGCUGCCCUGCCUGUGGAGCUGCGGAACCAUGAGCCAGCCAAACCUCUAUCCUCUAUAAAUUACCCAGCCUCGAGCAUUUCUUUAGAGCAAGGAAAGAACGAUCUAAUACACCCAGAAAGCUGAGAAUGGCGUGAGUGAAGCAUAACGACCAUGGAUGAAUUUCAAAAUCUAAAAACAUAAAAUUAAUAUUAUAGGGGGAGUCAAUGCAGGAACAUGAGGGUGCUUGGGCAGAGGCUGUCACCCACUGGUCACAUGUGGUCAGCAGAGAGCAGGAGAACAGCACCCUGGGGCUCUGUGGGAAGCACCCACAGCCUGCAGCUGAGGUUUUAAUUAUAGGGGCCAAAACAAAUGGGGAAAAAGACAAAUUUAGCAUGCAAAGAAAACAGAUGCUCAUCUGAGUCAGGAGGAAGUCACCACCAAUAAGGAAAAAAAUAGAGCUCUGGAAAAGUAGUGAAAACAGUCACAAGGAAGGGCCCCUGUGUCUUGCCUGACUCUGGACAGGUAUAUAGAGAGCCCAGGCUCAGGGGACUCCACACCUGCACCUCCCUGUCUUCUCCUCCUCUACCUACUCC
RNAcentral lists this long non-coding RNA (1276 nucleotides) under Callithrix jacchus (white-tufted-ear marmoset). RNAcentral describes it as "lncRNA (ENSCJAG00000072365.1)". The record is from RNAcentral. Lineage: Eukaryota; Metazoa; Chordata; Mammalia; Primates; Cebidae.